CCCUUAGAUGUCCUGGGCUGCACGCGCGCUACACUGAUGUGUCCAGUAAGCACCUAACCUCUUCCGAAAGGAACGGGUAACCUUUGCAAAGCACAUCGUGAUGGGGAUAGAUUAUUGCAAUUAUUAGUCUUGAACGAGGAAUUCCUAGUAAGCACAAGUCAUCAGCUUGUGUUGAUUACGUCCCUGCCCUUUGUACACACCGCCCGUCGCUCCUACCGAUUGAAUGUUCCGGUGAGCUCUUCGGACUGCGCGGUCUGCAGUUUCUGCGUUCCGUGCGGAAAGUUGCGCAAACCUUAACAUUUAGAGGAAGGAGGAGUCGUAACA
Molecule: ribosomal RNA, 324 nt
Filed under: uncultured eukaryote
Lineage: Eukaryota
Description: partial 18S ribosomal RNA
Rfam family: Eukaryotic small subunit ribosomal RNA
Source: RNAcentral